RNAcentral lists this ribosomal RNA (251 nucleotides) under uncultured bacterium. Its description in RNAcentral is "partial 16S ribosomal RNA". It matches the Rfam family "Bacterial small subunit ribosomal RNA", at positions 525 to 775 of the family's 1533-position model. The record is from RNAcentral.
ACGGAGGGUGCAAGCGUUAAUCGGAAUUACUGGGCGUAAAGCGCACGCAGGCGGUUUGUUAAGUCAGAUGUGAAAUCCCCGGGCUCAACCUGGGAACUGCAUUUGAAACUGGCAAGCUUGAGUCUCGUAGAGGGGGGUAGAAUUCCAGGUGUAGCGGUGAAAUGCGUAGAGAUCUGGAGGAAUACCGGUGGCGAAGGCGGCCCCCUGGACGAAGACUGACGCUCAGGUGCGAAAGCGUGGGGAGCAAACAG